AGUGAACGCUGGCGGUAGGCCUAACACAUGCAAGUCGAACGGCAGCACAGUAAGAGCUUGCUCUUACGGGUGGCGAGUGGCGGACGGGUGAGGAAUACAUCGGAAUCUACUUUUUCGUGGGGGAUAACGUAGGGAAACUUACGCUAAUACCGCAUACGACCUACGGGUGAAAGCAGGGGAUCUUCGGACCUUGCGCGAUUGAAUGAGCCGAUGUCGGAUUAGCUAGUUGGCGGGGUAAAGGCCCACCAAGGCGACGAUCCGUAGCUGGCCUGAGAGGAUGAUCCGCCACACUGGAACUGAGACACGGUCCAGACUCCUACGGGAGGCAGCAGUGGGGAAUAUUGGACAAUGGGCGCAAGCCUGAUCCAGCCAUACCGCAUGGGUGAAGAAGGCCUUCGGGUUGUAAAGCCCUUUUGUUGGGAAAGAAAAGCAGCAGGUUAAUACCCCGCUGUUCUGACGGUACCCAAAGAAUAAGCACCGGCUAACUUCGUG
This 492-nucleotide ribosomal RNA is filed under the name uncultured bacterium. RNAcentral's name for it is "partial 16S ribosomal RNA". It matches the Rfam family "Bacterial small subunit ribosomal RNA", at positions 29 to 507 of the family's 1533-position model. The record is from RNAcentral.